RNAcentral lists this ribosomal RNA (257 nucleotides) under uncultured bacterium. RNAcentral's name for it is "partial 16S ribosomal RNA". It matches the Rfam family "Bacterial small subunit ribosomal RNA", at positions 32 to 297 of the family's 1533-position model. The record is from RNAcentral.
AAUCAACGCUGGCGGCGUGCCUAACACAUGCAAGUCGCACGAGAAAGGGACUUCGGUCCUGAGUACAGUGGCGCACGGGUGAGUAACACGUGAAUCAUCUACCCUUCGAGUGGGGAAUAACUGAGAGAAUCUUAGCUAAUACCGCAUAAUACCUACGGGUCAAAGCAGCUAAUGCGCUUGAAGAGGAGUUCGCGGCAGAUUAGUUAGUUGGCAGGGGUAAUGGCCUACCAAGACGAUGAUCUGUAUCCGGCCUGAGA